GAGGUUACCAACUUCACAAAUAAUGGGUUUCCAUAGAGGAUGUCAUCUUGAAAAACACAAACAUAGUUUCAUGUGUUUCAUUGGGCUUCACAUUGCAGCCUUUUCAUCUAUCUACAUAUCUUGGAGACCCUUUCCUGCUGAUUCCUGUAGGUUCGUAUUAAUGUUAUUAUUAUUAGCACUUUUAAAAGAGAAGUAACUUCCCUUCUCCCACUAUUUUUAAAUAGACUUCAGUGUGCUGAAAGUUCUCCCAUUGAGAGCACUUAUGCAGUUGGGUGAACUAUCUGCAUGAAAGUGACAUUUGCUCAUCUGUCUUUCUCGCUGAAGUCAUCGUCUAAAGGUAAGCAAAAGAGCAAGCUCAGGAGAAAGAGAAUGGCGCACUCUCAGAGACCUUUCUUGGGGCUGCUGAUUGAGAGACACAAGGCCUGUGGCCACCAGUUGUCGUGGCUUUGUGCAGCAGCAGCAGUGGCAGGGACUCUGGGCUUCCAUGCUCCCCUCUCGUCCAUGCCGGGAGCAUUGCAGCCUCUCCUAGCAGGGCUAGGAUGCCCCACAGCUCUGGGCCUUGAACAGGGUAGGGUCCGUUCAGACUGGGGGUUAUGAGUGGCCUUUGUUGGCAGAGACUACAGUUAAAACCAUCUAAGCGCAAAAGUACCUUAGAAAUUAGAACAAAAAUUCCACCCCUUUAGGAAUAUCGAGGUAUCAGAAUUGGGCAGGGACCCAGCAACUGAGUUCUGGCCGGGGCCUCCUUGCCUUUGCUGUGACAUUGGUCUGGAAGACCUGGGCUGAUGGAUGAGCAUUGAAUGGCCGGGUCUGGGGAGCCAUCAUGGCUGCCUGCCUUCCUCCUGGUGGGCCCCUUAGUAAGCUGAGCAGAAACACAAAAUGGCUAGGGCAGUUACCAUAGCCACUUAACGUCUGUGCAUCCCUCGGCCUCCCUCAUUCUCGUCGGGAUAGGGAUGACUUAGGAAAGCCAGAGGAGGCCCAGGCUGCUAUGAAACCUGGGCCUUGCUUUUCAGCACAAGGAUUUCAAGAGGAGAGGAGGUGAGGGAGGAGGGGAGUUUCUGUUGGGGCUGUUGUGGGCCUCAGGCGGCCCCUGAGUUAAUCCGUAUUCGUAUUCAGAAUUCCCUCCUUUUCCUUAGUGGGUCAGAGUUCUCUCUUGCUCAUCCAGGCCUCAGAGAAGAAUCCAUGGUAGUUGUGACCACAGCUAGGCCUUAACUCCUUCAGAGCCAUGUACAUGAAGGCUCAGAAGAUCCCCUCAUCUUCUGAAGAAGUGUGAGUCUCCUCCUGUAGGCUUCCAAGGGACGCUAGGGUUAGCCAUACUUGCACAGCCUGCCCCACACUCAGGCUUCUUGGCACAGAGAAGCCCUUCCUCUUACUGAUUUAUGGUGCCUACCAUGUUCUAGGCAUUAGAGAAAUGCAUUAAUUUACUCUUCAUAGCAAACAUAUGGGAAAACUGAGGUACGCACAGGUCAGAUAGCUUGCCCAAGGCCACACAGCAGGAAAAUCGUGGAGUCCGGAUUUGAACUCCAGUGGCUGGUCAGGCUCCAGAGGUCGCCUUUCAAAUGCUGCCUGGAAAAUGAUGGAGCUGAUGGAGGAGUCCGAGGUGAUGGCUCUGGUGAGUCAGGAGCCUGCCAAGUCACAGGAGCUGGGGAAAGAGCACACUGGACAGAGGGGACAGCCAGUGGAGGCCCAGCCUCAUGUGGGAGGUGAGGAGAAAGGACCCUUCCAGAGGGCCCCCCCUCAAUCCUGUUGUGCCUAAUUCAGAGGGUUGGGUGGAGGCUCUCCUGAAGGGCUCUGAAGAGCGCUGCACCCGCAGCUGUGUGCCAGGAGUGGAGACAGGACAGUCGAUACAAGAGGGGCCCCUGUCAUGUCAGCUGCUGAGUCCCCUGGGGCGGCCGGGCACUGGGGAAUGGUGAACUCGCCGUGCCGCGCCUCUGCCACAGUCUCCCGUGGGUCCCCACUGCCGGGAGUUUUACCUACCUCCCACCCUCAGCCACGAGCACCUGCAGGAUGCGGUGCCAUCCUCGCCGGUGCCCGCUCCCCUUCCGGAGGCUCUCUCCACCCUCACUGACGCCUCCUCGGGAAAGCCCCCGCUCCUUCCCCGACCUCACAGCAUGCCAGGUCUGGGGCUUCCGCUGGGGGGCUUACCUGUUUUCCACCCCUGCUAGACUGGGAGCUCCAGGGCAAGGCCGUAGCUGCCUUGCGGAUUGUUACGUUGUCCAGCUUGUCUCCACACGUGAUACCCAGCAGGUGCCUAAUAAACUUGUGUAGAAAGAGUGGUGGAUGUUUGCUCUUGUAUUUACUCUUCAUAGAGCCCAGCUCUGCUUGCUAGAGUCCUCGAAGCAAGUGCGCAGUGUCUGACGGUCUUGGGUUGCUUCUGACUCAUGGUGGCUGCUUGGGGGUCAUG
Molecule: long non-coding RNA, 2401 nt
Filed under: Homo sapiens (human)
Lineage: Eukaryota; Metazoa; Chordata; Mammalia; Primates; Hominidae
Description: non-protein coding GNAS-AS1:12
Rfam family: mir-296 microRNA precursor family (bases 1711-1789)
Source: RNAcentral